GCCUCAGCGGUGCAGCGGUAGAGGACGCGUCCCCGGAUAGGAUGAAACGCGGGUUCGAUUCCCUCCUGAGACC
Molecule: non-coding RNA, 73 nt
Organism: Parelaphostrongylus tenuis
Lineage: Eukaryota; Metazoa; Nematoda; Chromadorea; Rhabditida; Metastrongylidae
Source: the annotation of a GenBank genome assembly